RNAcentral lists this small nuclear RNA (105 nucleotides) under Salvator merianae (Argentine black and white tegu). The record is from RNAcentral. Lineage: Eukaryota; Metazoa; Chordata; Lepidosauria; Squamata; Teiidae.
UGCUUGCUUCGGCAGCAAUAUACUAAAAUGAGAAUGAUACAGAGAAGAUUAGCAUGGCGUCUGUGCAAGAAUUACACGCAAAUUUGUGAAGUGUUCCAUUUUUAU